ACACUUCAACUCUCAUGGUUUGCCAUGAUGAGCUUGGACUUUGGGGGUCUUGCUGGCCUAUGGUCAGCUCCUCUUAAACAAAUCAGCUUGCCAGUGUUUGGUGGCAUCACAGGUGUGAUAACUAUCUACGCUUGUGGUUUUCCAUCAGGUAACCUUCAGCGAUGGAGGUUCUCUGGGGCUCAUAAAGGUCUCUCCUCAGUGAGGACAGCUUUUUGAAC
This 218-nucleotide unclassified non-coding RNA is filed under the name uncultured Tomentella. RNAcentral describes it as "sequence contains ITS2". Lineage: Eukaryota; Fungi; Basidiomycota; Agaricomycetes; Thelephorales; Thelephoraceae. The record is from RNAcentral.